UUAUYCAUGCAAGGUCCGAGCGAGCUUGCCUAGAUGAUUGUGGUGCUUGCAUCACAUGAAACUAGAUACAAGCGAGCGGCGAACGGGUGAGUAACACGUGGGUAACCUGCCCAAGAGACUGGGAUAACACCUGGAAACAGAUGCUAAUACCGGAUAACAACACUAGACGCAUGUCUAGAGUUUGAAAGAUGGUUCUGCUAUCACUCUUGGAUGGACCUGCGGUGCAUUAGCUAGUUGGUAAGGUAACGGCUUACCAAGGCAAUGAUGCAUAGCCGAGUUGAGAGACUGAUCGGCCACAUUGGGACUGAGACACGGCCCAAACUCCUACGGGAGGCAGCAGUAGGGAAUCUUCCACAAUGGACGCAAGUCUGAUGGAGCAACGCCGCGUGAGUGAAGAAGGGUUUCGGCUCGUAAAGCUCUGUUGUUGGUGAAGAAAGAUAGAGGUAGUAACUGGCCUUUAUUCGACGGUAAUCAACUAGAAAGUCACGGCUAACUACGUGCCAGCAGCCGCGGUAAUACGUAGGUGGCAAGCGUUGUCCGGAUUUAUUGGGCGUAAAGCGAGUGCAGGCGGUUCAAUAAGUCUGAUGUGAAAGCCUUCGGCUCAACCGAAGAAUUGCAUCAGAAACUGUUGAACUUGAGUGCAGAAGAGGAGAGUGGAACUCCAUGUGUAGCGGUGGAAUGCGUAGAUAUAUGGAAGA
Molecule: ribosomal RNA, 698 nt
Filed under: Lactobacillus johnsonii
Lineage: Bacteria; Bacillati; Bacillota; Bacilli; Lactobacillales; Lactobacillaceae
Description: bacterial SSU rRNA
Rfam family: Bacterial small subunit ribosomal RNA
Source: RNAcentral